CAGUUCUGCACAUUUUAUUGAAGUUUUUCCACUGCAGCCAGCUCAACGAUUCAGUCAAGGCUGCCAGCUCAUCAUCUUCAGUCAACAUUAUCCAACACUUUUUACUAUGUAGUGGGUCCAGUUGGGUCAUCCCAUAAACACGCAAAGGUUUUUAUGGGUCAUGUUGGGUUUGGAUGUAAAAGGAAACUGGUGGACGGGUUAUAAGAAAAAAGAGGCGGGUUAAAGGCCUUCUAGGGUUUUUGUCUGUUGACUUAUUUCUUCAGAGGUUUUCUACUUUUCUUCAAACCACAAAAUCAGCAGUAUUCAGCAUAACUCAUCUAAAAAUCAUCUUCAAUCGUGAUUCGGAGUAUUACCAAAUGGCACCUUAACAGCAGUGAAACAUCUUAAUCGAGUCGGGGAUGUCACUGGAAGCAAACUCUCUAUUUCUACGGAGUAUUACCAAAUGGCACCUUAAUCGAGACGGGGGCCUUACUGGAACCAGUUUCUCUAUUUUUACAGGAUAGAGAUAAUAACCAGGAGAAUCACCAGGAAGCUUUAGUUUUACCUAAGUCA
Helianthus annuus (common sunflower) is the source of this 552-nucleotide long non-coding RNA. RefSeq lists it as uncharacterized. The transcript is spliced from 3 exons. NCBI's taxonomy places the organism in Eukaryota, Viridiplantae, Streptophyta, Magnoliopsida, Asterales, Asteraceae. The record is from RefSeq and is a predicted model, not a curated record.